UGAGGUUUCCUAGGCCAACAACUUCAACCAUAAAUGACCGGCCAUCAACUUCUUCACAAAUGCUUAAUGAAUCAUCGUUGAUCGAUUGUCAAGAAAUGGAACAAAUAAUCAAACACCAAAUAUUUGAUAAUAUAACUUUAAAUCAGAUUUGUAAGGUUAGUAAGUUGCAAUCACUUUAAGAGUUUUUACAAUUUUGAGGU
Molecule: non-coding RNA, 200 nt
Organism: Theobroma cacao (cacao)
Lineage: Eukaryota; Viridiplantae; Streptophyta; Magnoliopsida; Malvales; Malvaceae
Source: RefSeq, a predicted model, not a curated record